GCCUUCGUGGCCUAACGGAUAAGGCGUCGGCUUUCUUAGCCGAAGAUUGCGGGUUCGAAUCCCGUCGGAGGUA
RNAcentral lists this transfer RNA (73 nucleotides) under Dendronephthya gigantea. RNAcentral describes it as "tRNA-Arg". It matches the Rfam family "tRNA". From Rfam's summary of the family: Transfer RNA (tRNA) molecules are approximately 80 nucleotides in length. Their secondary structure includes four short double-helical elements and three loops (D, anti-codon, and T loops). Lineage: Eukaryota; Metazoa; Cnidaria; Anthozoa; Malacalcyonacea; Nephtheidae. The record is from RNAcentral.